GAAGAAAUAAAUAAAAAUAAAUGCUCCUUAUAAUAGGAUAUGAUUAAUUUCAGAAUCAUUAUUUAUUUAAGCUUUACAAAACAAUUUCUGGAUUCUGAAUACUUGUCAUAUCUUUUUUUUUUUUUUUUUUAAUAAUUCUAAUCGUGAAAAAAGUGUAAAAAAGUAAUUAAUGACAAAGGAACAAACAAGAAAAUAAUGAAGAUCGUUCGUGUAUAUUUUUCCUUUUUAUCCCCGUCACAUUUAAUUGACGUACCUUUAAUUGAGAAUCGACAGAUAUAAACAAAAAUAAAACCUGGUAGCUGGUCCAUCUCUAUUUAGUGGUCACGUUGAGAUGCCAUGUCCAGAGAACGUUCUCAUGGAUCCAGCUCGCGGCUUAAUAUCACUGCUUGUUGGAUGUUAGCAUAAGCAAACACAGGGGGCUCGAAUAGUAACCCCGUGUGGAUAAAUUGUCGGCCUAUCGAAAAGUAGAAGAAUGAAAAGGACGAAAGCUGCUCGAGCAAUGACUGCCUUUAACAAAAGGACCCCUUUUCAAUAGCUUUUUAUCUUGCAAUAAGUACUUUCAAAAGAAUAAAUUUUCUGAAUUUU
This is a long non-coding RNA of Apis florea (little honeybee), 585 nucleotides long. The record is from RefSeq and is a predicted model, not a curated record. Lineage: Eukaryota; Metazoa; Arthropoda; Insecta; Hymenoptera; Apidae.